AAAAAAAAGAGUUUGAUCUUGGCUCAGAAUCAACGCUGGCGGCGUGCCUAACACAUGCAAGUCGAGCGAGAAAAGGGGGGCAACUCCCUGAGUAAAGCGGCGCACGGGUGAGUAACACGUGGGUAAUCUGCCCUGGAGUGGGGAAUAACACCGGGAAACCGGUGCUAAUACCGCAUACGAUCACGAGGUCUGCGGAUUUUGUGAUGAAAGGAGCAAUUCGCUCUAGGAGGAGCCCGCGGCUGAUUAGCUAGUUGGUGAGGUAAUGGCUCACCAAGGCGACGAUCAGUAUCCGGUCUGAGAGGACGGUCGGACACACUGGAACUGAGACACGGUCCAGACUCCUACGGGAGGCAGCAGUGGGGAAUUUUUGGCAAUGGGGGCAACCCUGACCAAGCAACGCCGCGUGGGUGAUGAAGUCUCUUGGGACGUAAAACCCUUUCGACGGGGAAGAAACCGCAAGGUUGACGGUACCCGUAGAAGAAGCCCCGGCUAACUCCGUGCCAGCCGCCGCGGUAAU
Molecule: ribosomal RNA, 517 nt
Filed under: uncultured Acidobacteriota bacterium
Lineage: Bacteria; Pseudomonadati; Acidobacteriota
Description: bacterial SSU rRNA
Rfam family: Bacterial small subunit ribosomal RNA
Source: RNAcentral